AAACAAGUCCCCUUGACAGAGGUUCCACAGAAGGUGCAAGUCCUGUACGUUGAGAUAAUUGAUCGAUAUUUGCGUGCUUUAGAGUCGGGUUGUUUGGGAUCGCAGCCCAAAGUCGGUGGUAAACUUCAUCUAAGACUUAAUAUUGCCACGAGACCGAUAGCAAACAAGUACUGUGAAGGAAAGUUGCAAAGCACUUUGAAGAGAGAGUUAAAGAGGACGUGAAACCGGURAGGUGGAAACGGAUAGAGUCGGCGUAUCAUUCAAKUAUUCAKUUACAUUAUUUUUAUGUUGUGAYCUCUGAGCUCCAGAUUGGGACAGAGGGAAKCAGCAUAAUUUUYUGUGRUGCAUUUACUUGWUUGGUGCUUGGGGAUGUUUGAGGCAGAUUUGUKUCCGYCGUUUUGAGGCCAGCUUGCUGGUACCCAAACGGUGUUAGCAUUUUUUGUCUUGGRCAUUUGAGUAUGGCUYACGUGYAUUUAUUGGWYAGAUCUGAGUGUAAGUUACGGUCGCAUGCGACACGUGCUUUUCAAUUAGUUCGGUCCAGUUAAUGCUCUCGUACUCGUUCCCCAUGUAAAAGCCGGUCAUCUAUCCGACCCGUCUUGAAACACGGACCAAGGAGUUUAUCGUGUGCGCAAGUUUUUGGGUGUUAAAAACYUAAAAGCGAAAUGAAAGUAAAUGRCUCUUUAGAGUCUGAUGUGCGAUCUUGUAAAAAAGUGYAGCAUGGCCCCAUUCUAACUGUUUACAGUAGGGUGGCGGAAGAGCGUACGCGGUGAGACCCGAAAGAUGGUGAACUAUUCCUGAGCAGGACGAAGCCAGAGGAAACUCUGGUGGAAGUCCGAAGCGGUUCUGACGUGCAAAUCGAUCGUCUGACU
Molecule: ribosomal RNA, 869 nt
Filed under: Meloidogyne incognita (southern root-knot nematode)
Lineage: Eukaryota; Metazoa; Nematoda; Chromadorea; Rhabditida; Meloidogynidae
Description: partial 28S ribosomal RNA
Rfam family: Eukaryotic large subunit ribosomal RNA
Source: RNAcentral